GAUGAACGCUGGCGGCGUGCCUAAUACAUGCAAGUCGAGCGAACGGACGAGAAGCUUGCUUCUCUGAUGUUAGCGGCGGACGGGUGAGUAACACGUGGAUAACCUACCUAUAAGACUGGGAUAACUUCGGGAAACCGGAGCUAAUACCGGAUAAUAUUUUGAACCGCAUGGUUCAAAAGUGAAAGACGGUCUUUCUGUCACUUAUAGAUGGAUCCGCGCUGCAUUAGCUAGUUGGUAAGGUAACGGCUUACCAAGGCAACGAUGCAUAGCCGACCUGAGAGGGUGAUCGGCCACACUGGAACUGAGACACGGUCCAGACUCCUACGGGAGGCAGCAGUAGGGAAUCUUCCGCAAUGGGCGAAAGCCUGACGGAGCAACGCCGCGUGAGUGAUGAAGGUCUUCGGAUCGUAAAACUCUGUUAUUUGGGAAGAACAUAUGUGUAAGUAACUGUGCACAUCUUGACGGUACCUAAUCAGAAAGCCACGGCUAACUACGUG
This 497-nucleotide ribosomal RNA is filed under the name uncultured bacterium. RNAcentral's name for it is "partial 16S ribosomal RNA". It matches the Rfam family "Bacterial small subunit ribosomal RNA", at positions 28 to 507 of the family's 1533-position model. The record is from RNAcentral.